AUUUGCGACGUCAAUCAGUUACCAUUCUGUCGUUAGUAAUCAGUGCUUGACAGAAAUUUCUGUAAAAUGACGCCGUUUAAUGUAGCAAACGUAAUAAACAUGUUAGCUACUACGUUUCAAAUUGCGAGUAUAACACAGACACCUAUAACACCAGUGGAAAUUGAAGUACAUAACGAAAUUAAAAAUAUUUUACAAAAAGCUCAGGACACACGUUCAGUGAUAUUGAUAGAUCAUGAUUACGUGCUUGAUUUUGAAGAUCCGUCGGAGCCACAUUCCACGCAAGUUGUAGAACAUAUUACGCCUGCAGAAAAAGAAGAAGAUGAAGGCAGUUUCGAACCUGAAGAAUGCGUUGUUGAUGAUGAAGGAGGCAUAGUCGACUUCAGUUAUAAGAGAAAAGCUGUGGAGUUUUGGAAAAGUGGAAAAAAGGCCUGUAGAACUUUAAGUGCAGUACAACACAAAUUCCGCAAGGUUAAAUCUUAUCAUCAACUAUACAGGUGGGAGACAAGUUUAGAAAAAGGUGGAACAAAUGCAGAUAAAUUUGCAUUUAUUGCGGAAUAUGUACUGCACAAGUUUCAAGAAGCUUGUGAUAGAAAAUCAAUCAUUCAUGAUAUGAAUUUAAGAUUAUGGGCCUUGGAGGCAAAGGAUCAAGUGGAUCUACCCGAAUUCAGGGCAAGUAAAUGGUGGAUUUGGAAGUUUAAAAAAGUACACGGAAUUGUUUCUCGAAAAAUAACCGCAUUCCGAACGCAAUUUACAUUUAAAGAUCAAGAAAAUAUACAAAAUGUCGCAAAAGAAUUUGUUUCAAAUGUAAAGUCCAAGAUUCCAGCUAUAGGACUAGAAGAAGUUUAUAAUGCAGACGAGAGUGGCUUCAACCUUGAAAUACAUUCUGGGCGAACAUUAGCGAAAUCAGGAGUGAAAAUAAUUGAGGCAGCAGUUCAAAGUAUAUCUUCAACAACACAUAGUUAUACUAUAAUGCCUCUUAUUUCGGCAAGUGGAAAUCUUCUUUCACCACUGUACAUCGUUUUGAAGGAGUCUACAGGAACAUUUGGACCGAGGGUGGAAGAAACUCUAUUUCGUCCAGUUAACAUAUACAUCCAGGCUUCAAAAUCAGGAAAACUCACUGCAGAACAUUUCAAAACUUGGUUCAUCGAAGUAUAUCUACCGAAUACUGGCAGUAAAAGUAUGCUUCUACUUGACUCAUGGACGGGACACUGCCCGAGCCAGCUAGAGCAACAUGUACCACAAGGUAAAGAAGAAAUACUCACGAUGACAUAAAAGAUGAAACUAAUUAAAAGAAAUCAUUGAUGCAUAACGAUAGCAACUUACAUUACUUCAAUGCUAUUUUAUUACACUGUUAUGUAUACCGCACCAUAAAAAAAGAUGAAACUCUAUUUUUUAACGUUAAAAUAUAUAUAUAAUAAUUACAUACAAUUAGGCAUGAUUUAUAUAUAUAAUUUUACGUAUUUUUAUAUAACCAUACAUAAUUGUUUACAAUGAUAUAUGUAUAGAUAGAUAUACAAUAUUUCUCUUCAGCUUACAAAAGAUUGUCAAGAAGGAGUCUUGGUUUACAAUAUUACUCUAAAAUUCAUGCAUCCAUUCACACAAUUCUACGCGCUUGCUACCUAUUCUUCAUCUUCCUAUUCUCUACCUAUAUACAUCUCUACACACUUCAUAAAUAUUUUACCUUUUACAUUUUUAACAAUUAUAUAAUGAUUACAGAAAGUUGUGUGCAAUUAUUAUAUAUAACUAUCACAUAGAUUUUAUAUAUAUUUACAUAUAUUUACAUGAAAAUUACGGAUUAUAUGUGCUACAGUAAUGAUAGUCUUCGUAAAAAUGUUUGAAACAAAAAUAUUCGCCACACCAUGCACAACGCAUAAAUGCGGCCUUUCCACAGAUACUACAUUUUGGCACAUGCUUUUCAGUUUUAAAAUAACAAUAUUCUACAGGGUUUUGAAAGUGGUCGGGACGCGUUUCUACAUAUCCGCUUUUAAACCACGAAUAUUUAAAAAGGUUUUUAAAUCUAGGUGAAGAUAGUUGAUUGUGAGUUAAUGAUUGUAAUUUAAUUAUUUCAUUACGGGAGUGCAAAUUAAUAUCUUCCUCUUGAAGAAUGACAUUAUCUGAAAAUGUUCGCACAAAAUUUUUCCAAAUUCGGAAUCCAAAGACAUCUAGAGGCUGAAUGAUACCCGUCGUCUUCUUUGGAAUGGUUAAAAAUGUAACUUCUUUACCUUGUGGUACAUGUUGCUCUAGCUGGCUCGGGCAGUGUCCCGUCCAUGAGUCAAGUAGAAGCAUACUUUUACUGCCAGUAUUCGGUAGAUAUACUUCGGUGAACCAAGUUUUGAAAUGUUCUGCAGUGAGUUUUCCUGAUUUUGAAGCCUGGAUGUAUAUGUUAACUGGACGAAAUAGAGUUUCUUCCACCCUCGGUCCAAAUGUUCCUGUAGACUCCUUCAAAACGAUGUACAGUGGUGAAAGAAGAUUUCCACUUGCCGAAAUAAGAGGCAUUAUAGUAUAACUAUGUGUUGUUGAAGAUAUACUUUGAACUGCUGCCUCAAUUAUUUUCACUCCUGAUUUCGCUAAUGUUCGCCCAGAAUGUAUUUCAAGGUUGAAGCCACUCUCGUCUGCAUUAUAAACUUCUUCUAGUCCUAUAGCUGGGAUCUUGGACUUUACAUUUGAAACAAAUUCUUUUGCGACAUUUUGUAUAUUUUCUUGAUCUUUAAAUGUAAAUUGCGUUCGGAAUGCGGUUAUUUUUCGAGAAACAAUUCCGUGUACUUUUUUAAACUUCCAAAUCCACCAUUUACUUGCCCUGAAUUCGGGUAGAUCCACUUGAUCCUUUGCCUCCAAGGCCCAUAAUCUUAAAUUCAUAUCAUGAAUGAUUGAUUUUCUAUCACAAGCUUCUUGAAACUUGUGCAGUACAUAUUCCGCAAUAAAUGCAAAUUUAUCUGCAUUUGUUCCACCUUUUUCUAAACUUGUCUCCCACCUGUAUAGUUGAUGAUAAGAUUUAACCUUGCGGAAUUUGUGUUGUAUUGCACUUAAAGUUCUACAGGCCUUUUUUCCACUUUUCCAAAACUCCACAGCUUUUCUCUUAUAACUGAAGUCGACUAUGCCUCCUUCAUCAUCAACAACGCAUUCUUCAGGUUCGAAACUGCCUUCAUCUUCUUCUUUUUCUGCAGGCGUAAUAUGUUCUACAACUUGCGUGGAAUGUGGCUCCGACGGAUCUUAAAAAUCAAGCACGUAAUCAUGAUCUAUCAAUAUCACUGAACGUGUGUCCUGAGUUUUUUGUAAAAUAUUUUUAAUUUCGUUAUGUACUUCAAUUUCCACUGGUGUUAUAGGUGUCUGUGUUAUACUCGCAAUUUGAAACGUAGUAGCUAACAUGUUUAUUACGUUUGCUACAUUAAACGGCGUCAUUUUACAGAAAUUUCUGUCAAGCACUGAUUACUAACGACAGAAUGGUAACUGAUUGACGUCGCAAAUGAAACUGGAAAUAAUACUUCCUCGGAUAUAUUUAUAUGACUCAAAAGACGCAAUUACAUAAAUUUAUUUACCGCGCGAAUAGAUUUUGCGCAAAUAGCUUAAACGUUAGAAAAUUGAUUUCCAAGAAAUCUUUUAUUUAAUCUUAUUUAUCGUCUGGUAUGCAAAAUUAAGAGGCGCGGUCGCGUCUCGCGCCAAGUGACAUGCGAAGCGAAGACCGAGUUUCUUUUUAGUCUAGACAUCAAGGUGACUUUAUGUUAUUAAACUUUACUUCGAAAAAUAGCAACGUAUUACAUUACUUCAAUGCUAUUUUAUUACACUAUUAUGCUAUUUUAUUACAUUAUUAUGCACGAUAAAUAAGAUUUUUCCUGGAACUCUAUUUUCUAAUAGGAGAUGACAAAAACAUUUCGAGGACAGUCUGCGUAAAUAUUAAUUAUAAAAUCGCGCACAUCUAGAGAAAUAUUUACGUAACAUUUGAAUGUAUAAUGUUCGAAGUAAAGUUAAUAAAUAAUGUAAGCAUACCUAUAUUAGAACAGUAGUAUAAAUACGUAAAACAAUAGUAUAAAUGAAACAGUAAUAUAGUGCUAUCGCUUUGGGUCAGUUUAGUAUAUUUGCAACAUUUUUUAUUGUGAAAAAUGAAAUCCUGUUCAAGCUGUGGCAAAUCUUAUCAACCUAAUCUUCCAUUUCCGCCUUCAAAAUGCGACACUUGUAAAGCAAGUGUCCCGGUGAAUAUAGUACGACCACUCAUUGAUGAAACAAAUUCUUCUACAGCUCCUCCUUUUACAGCUGAAGAAAUCAUGCGGCGCGGUGGCGGAAGAGGAGCAAUAAUUCAAAUACUACGGGAGAGGCGGGAGGCUCGUGAAAAUCGUUAAUUUAUAAUUUUGUAUAAUUUUUAAUUUUGACUUUCCACGACAAUUAGAAUAUGUAACUAUUUUUUACUCGAGAGUCGUUUACUCAAGUUUAGUUGUUUAACAAUAUUUUGUUAAUAUUAAGAUAUUUAUGAUAGCGGCUGAUGAAGGCCUAGUGAGGCAGAAAUUGGUUCCGCGUUAUUAUAAUAAUGUACAUUGCUCGCUAAUGUAUAAUGCUUGCUCCUACUUGUACAUAAUAAAAAUAUAUGUAAUUUAGAA
Molecule: RNA transcript, 4589 nt
Organism: Solenopsis invicta (red fire ant)
Lineage: Eukaryota; Metazoa; Arthropoda; Insecta; Hymenoptera; Formicidae
Exons: 2
Source: RefSeq, a predicted model, not a curated record